Molecule: ribosomal RNA, 491 nt
Filed under: uncultured bacterium
Lineage: Bacteria
Description: partial 16S ribosomal RNA
Rfam family: Bacterial small subunit ribosomal RNA
Source: RNAcentral
AGUGAACGCUGGCGGUAGGCCUAACACAUGCAAGUCGAACGGCAGCACAGUAAGAGCUUGCUCUUACGGGUGGCGAGUGGCGGACGGGUGAGGAAUACAUCGGAAUCUACUUUUUCGUGGGGGAUAACGUAGGGAAACUUACGCUAAUACCGCAUACGACCUACGGGUGAAAGCAGGGGAUCUUCGGACCUUGCGCGAUUGAAUGAGCCGAUGUCGGAUUAGCUAGUUGGCGGGGUAAAGGCCCACCAAGGCGACGAUCCGGAGCUGGUCUGAGAGGAUGAUCAGCAACACUGGAACUGAGAAACGGUCCAGACUCCUACGGAAGGCAGCAGUGGGGAAUAUUGGACAAUGGGCGCAAGCCUGAUCCAGCAAUACCGCGUGGGUGAAGAAGGCCUUCGGGUUGUAAAGCCCUUUUGUUGGGAAAGAAAAGCAGCAGGUUAAUACCCCGCUGUUCUGACGGUACCCAAAGAAUAAGCACCGGCUAACUUCGU